RNAcentral lists this ribosomal RNA (447 nucleotides) under uncultured bacterium. RNAcentral describes it as "partial 16S ribosomal RNA". It matches the Rfam family "Bacterial small subunit ribosomal RNA", at positions 330 to 793 of the family's 1533-position model. The record is from RNAcentral.
UCCAGACUCCUACGGGAGGCAGCAGUGGGGAAUAUUGGGCAAUGGGCGCAAGCCUGACCCAGCAACGCCGCGUGAAGGAAGAAGGCUUUCGGGUUGUAAACUUCUUUUAAGAGGGAAGAGUAGAAGACGGUACCUCUUGAAUAAGCAUCGGCUAACUCCGUGCCAGCAGCCGCGGUAAUACGGAGGAUGCGAGCGCUAUCCGGAUUUAUUGGGUUUAAAGGGUGCGUAGGCGGUAUUUUAAGUUAGUGGUAAAACGUCGGGGCUUCACCUUGAUUGGCCAUUAAAACUGGAGUACUAGAGUACAGACGAGGUAGGCGGAAUAAGUUAAGUAGCGGUGAAAUGCUUAGAUAUAACUUAGAACCCCGAUAGCGAAGGCAGCUUACCAGACUGUUACUGACGCUGAAGCACGAGAGCGUGGGUAGCGAACAGGAUUAGAUACCCUUGUAU